RNAcentral lists this signal recognition particle RNA (285 nucleotides) under Carlito syrichta (Philippine tarsier). RNAcentral describes it as "Metazoan signal recognition particle RNA (ENSTSYG00000027090.1)". It matches the Rfam family "Metazoan signal recognition particle RNA". Rfam says of the family: The signal recognition particle (SRP) is a universally conserved ribonucleoprotein. It is involved in the co-translational targeting of proteins to membranes. The record is from RNAcentral. Lineage: Eukaryota; Metazoa; Chordata; Mammalia; Primates; Tarsiidae.
ACAGUUGUUGCCAGCAACUGUAGUACCAGCUAACAAUGAGGUUGAGUGGGAGGAUAUGUUGAGGCCAAGAGUUCUAGGCUAUAGUGUGAGAUGUCAGUGGAGUGUCCAUAUAAGUUCAGCAUCAAUAUGGUGACCUCCCAGGACUGGGAAACCACCAGGUAUCCUAAGGAGCGGCCCAGGUCAAAAACGAAGCAGGUCAAAACUUGCAGACUGAUCAGUAGUGGGAUCCCACAUGUGAAUACCCACUGUACUUCCGCCUGGGCAACAGGAAAAGACUUCAUCUCU